Peptoniphilus lacrimalis DNF00528 is the source of this 232-nucleotide non-coding RNA. Lineage: Bacteria; Bacillati; Bacillota; Tissierellia; Tissierellales; Peptoniphilaceae. The record is from Rfam.
AUUAACUCAACAAAUCAGAAAAGUAGUUAUUUUUGAUCUUCAGGGAGCCUGUGGUUACUGUGAACAGGUGGUUGGAACUAGUGAAAUUGGGCUGAUUUGAAAAAAUGAAUUUGAAACAAUGAAAAUUCGGUGCGCACACCUUACAGUGCAACUUGUUGAUAGACAAGGCAGAGAUGUAAAGGGAAUAUUCUCUUUACAAUUGAGGUGGUACCGCGUUACGAACGCCCUCACA